Molecule: ribosomal RNA, 394 nt
Filed under: uncultured bacterium
Lineage: Bacteria
Description: bacterial SSU rRNA
Rfam family: Bacterial small subunit ribosomal RNA
Source: RNAcentral
GGCGAACGGGUGAGUAACACGUGGGUGAUCUGCCUCGUACUUUGGGAUAAGCCUGGGAAACUGGGUCUAAUACCGAAUAUGACCUUCCCUCGCAUGGGGGUUGGUGGAAACUUUUGGGUACGAGAUGGGCCCGCGGCCUAUCAGCUUGUUGGUGGGGUAAUGGCCUACCAAGGCGACGACGGGUAGCCGGCCUGAGAGGGCGACCGGCCACACUGGGACUGAGACACGGCCCAGACUCCUACGGGAGGCAGCAGUGGGGAAUAUUGCACAAUGGGCGCAAGCCUGAUGCAGCGACGCCGCGUGAGGGAUGACGGCCUUCGGGUUGUAAACCUCUUUCACCAGGGACGAAGAGAAAUUGACGGUACCUGGAGAAGAAGCACCGGCCAACUACGUG